UUUUAGAAACAUCAGUGGCCAACAGUCGUCAGGAUUGUUGAGCUGCAUUGGCGGGAUUUCGCCGUCUUCGUUUCUCUUUCUUCGCGGACGAACACGCGCCGGGGCUGCGUUGUGCGAUUGCAUUUGGCGCUAGUCGCCGGUUGCUGCACGCCAAGACCCUAGUCCUUGAUAGGAUAGCGUUAGGGGCUUGUAGCUCAGUUGGUUAGAGCGCGCGCUUGAUAAGCGUGAGGUCGGAAGUUCAAGUCUUCCCAGGCCCACCACUUUCAUCGAGUGAGCAUUCGUCUUCUGGUUACGGGGCCAUAGCUCAGCUGGGAGAGCGCGUGCUUUGCAAGCAUGAGGUCGUCGGUUCGAUCCCGUCUGGCUCCACCAGAUGGUUUGAUCAUCGACUGAUCGUGCACCUAAAUCGUCCGCGAAACAUCACUUCGCACUUGCUAGUCCGGAUGGACAGCAGGCUGCGUGAUUUCUGACAUCGUAAAGAGGAGAUCGAUCCGAGUUGGAUCGUGCAGAAGAUUUCUGCGCGAUACUUCAUUAUCUCCGGAUCAUUCCGGCGCUCACGCGUCCUUCAAGGUCAAUCUUGAAAGACGGGCGAGUUGUAAAUGAUCCUUUUAGCGAAGCUUGACCGCCUCGCUAUCGGAACGAUCUUACGAAGCAAGCUGGUCUUUCUAAUCAUUGUCCCGGCUGCAGAUAGCGUUCAUCGAGGGCGCGUGCCGCAAGGCAGUUCUGCAGACAACAUUCUGCCGAGUGUGUGGACAUUGAUAAUGAGAGCAAUCAAGUGCCUU
RNAcentral lists this transfer RNA (779 nucleotides) under Bradyrhizobium japonicum. RNAcentral's name for it is "partial contains 16S-23S ribosomal RNA intergenic spacer, and 23S ribosomal RNA". The stretch from base 184 to 257 matches the Rfam family "tRNA". The record is from RNAcentral. Lineage: Bacteria; Pseudomonadati; Pseudomonadota; Alphaproteobacteria; Hyphomicrobiales; Nitrobacteraceae.